CCCGCUGAACUUAAGCAUAUCAAUAAGCGGAGGAAAAGAAACCAACAGGGAUUGCCCUAGUAACGGCGAGUGAAGCGGCAAAAGCUCAGAUUUGAAAUCUGGUCUCCUUAGGGGGCCCGAGUUGUAAUCUGGAGAGGAUGCUUUUGGCGAGACCCCACCUGAGAUCCUUGGAAUAGGACGCCAUAGAGGGUGAGAGCCCCGUAAAGGAUGGGAGGCAAGCCUGUAUAAAGCUCCUUCGACGAGUCGCGUAGUCCGGGACUGCUGCGCAAAUUGGGAGGUAAACUCCUCCUAAAGCUAAAUACUGGCCAGAGACCGAUAGCGCACAAGUAGAGUGAUCGAAAGAUGAAAAGCACUUUGAAAAGAGAGUCAAACAGUACGUGAAAUUGUUGAAAGGGAAGCGCUCAUGACCAGACUUGAUCUCGAGGGAUCUCGGGGCUUGCCGCCCCGACACUUCACCGAGUUUCAGGCCAGCAUCAGUUCGGGUCGGGACACAAAGACCUGCCGGAAUGUGGCUCUUCGGAGUGUUAUAGCCGGCGGUGUAAUAUCCUGGCGCGGACUGAGGACUGCGCAGGGCCUUCUGGGCCCUGCAAUGAUGCUGGCGUAAUGGUCAUUAGCGGCCCGUCUUGAAACACGG
This 634-nucleotide ribosomal RNA is filed under the name uncultured fungus. Its description in RNAcentral is "eukaryotic LSU rRNA". It matches the Rfam family "Eukaryotic large subunit ribosomal RNA", at positions 24 to 664 of the family's 3401-position model. Lineage: Eukaryota; Fungi. The record is from RNAcentral.